This 752-nucleotide ribosomal RNA is filed under the name Peromyscus melanotis (black-eared mouse). Its description in RNAcentral is "mitochondrial SSU ribosomal RNA". It matches the Rfam family "Bacterial small subunit ribosomal RNA", at positions 49 to 1349 of the family's 1533-position model. The record is from RNAcentral. Lineage: Eukaryota; Metazoa; Chordata; Mammalia; Rodentia; Cricetidae.
UUACACAUGCAAAAAUCCGUAAACCAGUGUCAAAUCCCCUAAAGCUUUAUUCAAAACCUAGGGAGAGGGCAUCAAGUACAUAUUAGUAUAGCUAAAGACGUCUUGCCUAGCCACGCCCCCACGGACUCAGCAGUGAUAAAAAUUAAGCAAUGAACGAAAGUUUGACUAAGUUAUACCUCUCAAGGGUUGGUAAAUUUCGUGCCAGCCACCGCGGUCAUACGAUUAACCCAAAUUAAUUAUUAUACGGCGUAAAACGUGUCCAUAGGAAACAACCAAUAGAAUUAAAAACCAACCAAUAUGUGAAAAUUCAUCGUUGGGACUAAAAUCAAUAACGAAAGUAAUUCUAAUUAACUUAAUACACGAUAGCUAAGAUCCAAACUGGGAUUAGAUACCCCACUAUGCUUAGCCCUAAACCUUAAAGAUUAAAUAACAAAAUCAUUUGCCUGAGAACUACUGGCCAUCGCUUAAAACUCAAAGGACUUGGCGGUACUUUAUAUCCGUCUAGAGGAGCCUGUUCUAUAAUCGAUAAACCCCGUUAUACCUCACCACCCCUUGCUAAUUCAGCCUAUAUACCGCCAUCUUCAGCAAACCUUAAAAAGGAAUAAAAGUAAGCAAGAGAAUCACCAUAAAAACGUUAGGUCAAGGUGUAGCUUAUGAGGUGGGAAGCAAUGGGCUACAUUUUCUUAAAAAGAACAUUACGAUACCCUUAUUGAAACAUAAGGACAAAGGAGGAUUUAGUAGUAAAUUAAGAA